RNAcentral lists this long non-coding RNA (3707 nucleotides) under Prunus persica (peach). RNAcentral describes it as "long non-coding RNA (PPER_LNC001445)". The record is from RNAcentral. Lineage: Eukaryota; Viridiplantae; Streptophyta; Magnoliopsida; Rosales; Rosaceae.
UUUUUAUUUUUUUUCUUUCUCUUUUUAAAAUAACACCAUUGCCUUGCAAAAACAAAUCAAAACCCAGUUUGAUUUUAUUAUAUUUAUAUGGUUGUUUUACCUGUAUUUAUGCAAAUUGUUGUUGCGACAAAAUGUGGACUAGCUUAGAAGGAAGGAAAAGCAAAAAAUAAUAAAAUAAUAGAAUAAUAAAUAGAACUUUCUGGUAUUUGUUUAGUUUGGGUUAAAAGAAGCCGAAGAAGAUUGCUAAAGUGACAGCAAGAACAAGGCAUACACGUGUCCGCCAAGCCAUGUAUGCAUAUACCUAAUAUGCCUAAAAGUUAGUUUGCUGUCCGACUGGAAUAGUAUUAAUAGGACGAUGGUUUGGGUUAAGAUUAAAUUCUAUAUUAUUCAUAAUAAUAUGAUAAUGAAAUAUUUUAUUUAGGGUCGCCUCGUUUAGUGGAAAAUUGAUGUCACACGUGGCAAUACAUGGUUGUUGCUUUUGGGUUGGUUAUCGUGGCGAUGGACGGUGCGUGGCGUCUCAUGUGGCCGCAUGUGAUUUAGUGGGCAUCAGUGGACGUUUAAAGCAAGUGGGCCUUAAUUCUGUACUAACCGACAAAAAAAGGGCAUAUGGGUCGAAACGGACCCUGGGCCUGUUACCGUUGGUUUUUUUUUGGGGGGUUCUUUUUGGGAAAUAAUAUGCUUCAUGUUGAGGGCAUAUAGGUAUUUUCACUAGCCCUUAAUUAUGCUAACUGUUUUCUGGCUUGGACCGCACUGCCAACUGCUGAGCACAAAAGCACGAAAGCUGACUACCCACAAUGCACCGUUUUCGUUUUUUAAGUUCCAAACAUAGCAAAACUCAUCAAAGUGCUUAUCAAAAAGCCUAUCCCGCUUUUUGCCCAUUACCUAAAGCAAAAGCUACGCUUUUGCCAGUCUGUUUUUGCUUGUUUUGGCCUCUUCCUUUUAAUUAGCUGGAAGAUUAUUGUUCUAAUUAGUUUUUUAUUUUCUGUAAUUUUGUUUUAUAGCUGGUAAGCCCAGGAGCAUGGCUCUGUGAUCUGACCCUAGAACGGUACGAGGUCAGAGAGAAGAAGAUUUCCAAGAAGGUAUUUUAUUGAGUAAUUUUCUUCGAUUCAGGGCCUAAAUCAAAUUUCCUUAAUUUGCCUUUAAUGUUGAUAUUUUUAUGCAGCAGAAUGAAUAGUUUUUUUGUGUUUUUGCAUGAUGCUGCAGAGACCAAGAGGGCUAAAGGCGAUGGGCAACGUGGAGUCUGACUCUGAAUAGAAAGGAGUUUUAGUGAAAAGACUAAUAUAGCAUUUUCGUUUUUUUUCUCCUCCUUUUUUUGAAGGUAUGAGAAAAAUGUUAGAACUUUGUAAAAAUCUUCACCUUUCAACCAUCAGAAUAAUGAAUGGAUUCAUUUCCGGUCCUGUAUACAGUCUUGUUCCUCAUCUUCCUACUAAGUUUGUUUAAUCAGAACAAGAAAAAAAAAACAAAUCAUCACGUCCAAGCACACGAACAAAUGAAAUUUCUCUCUUUCAAACCCUAAUUGUGAAAAAUAAUUAAAAUAAGCUUCAGGGAUGUAAUUCAAGUGGUUAGUCAUGACAUGUUACACAAUCCAACAAUUUUUUGUUUUCUUGUCAACCUACAACACAUUUUCUUAUGUCGUAUUAAGUUAGAAAAGGGAAUUAACGGUGUUGGAUAGUCGUCCAAACGCACGUGAGUGUCUUAUGAUUGUUCAUAUAUUAACAUAUGGGUCUCAGUCUAACAUACAUCGAUGACUUACGGUGGAAGUGCUCAUUAGGCAUGGGCAAAAUCAGUUUCAGACUUCACCAUCCGAGUGAAAAAGAAACUCGAGACUCGAUCGCUCUCAAGAUGUGAAGAAAAUCACGAAAUUGACUCUUGAGACGAGAUUUGAGACUCUUUAGAGGUUAGACUUCAAGAAGGAAGAAGAAAAACAACAAACCAUAACUCUCUUUAGCUGACACACGUAACGUAAAACCACAAUAUAUGAAUUUGCAAAGCUAUUAAAGACAAUGACAUCUAAAAAUUUACCCGAGACAGGAGAAAAACCAGAACCCCAACUCCCUAAAGUUACCUAGUCAUUAGCAAAUUGAAGGGCCACGUCUAAUUUAUAAUGAUAAGAGAUAAUAUCAUUGUUUGGUCGCAUGAUUUGUGGAUGCCACUUUACAUUAUGUGGCCUCCUUAAUUGGUAUUUUGAUGUGACACGGAACACUUAACGCGGUAAUUUAAUUUCUUAACGUAAUUGACAAUUUCAAUGAAAAUCCAUGACCUAUCAUAUCAGACCACCAAACCAAACCCAACUGAAUUAAACUAUUGGAAGAGGAGAAAACAUGGGUCCUAAUUCAAAUUAACAUUCAUAAUUCGCCAUCAUUGACGGGAAGACCCGAAUUAAUCCCCUUAAUUAUGCCACGAAGAAGCAUAAACACAUUUUAAGAAUAACAUCUGCUCUGUGAGAGUUUGUGGAGACAGACAGAUCCACCACCCACCAUCCAGCUGGUUCUCAAAAGGCAAUUCUAAUGCUACCUGCGGGUCGUGAAGAAAAGAGGAAGAUUUUUCAAUUUAAUUAGCCCCCAAAAAAUAGCAUGGAAAAUACCCCCAAAGGGCCCUAAAUAUACCCUUACCCACUGGGCAUAUUUGUCAAUAAACACUGAAAUUAGGGAUUUUUUCAGGACCCAAACACAAUUGCUAUAGUCGGUGACCCAGAGCCUAUCAAAUUAUAAACUCAUUACGUGUUGCAGUUGGAAUUACAGCUUUAUUCUGUUAGAAUAAAUGAUUAAUUUACACCGACUUGGCUACGCCGCUUUUUUGGUCCAAGCGAAAAUAAAAUAAUUGGAUCUGGAUUUGUAAUUUGCCGCUUUUUAUUUGCAGGUAAUGAAAAUGAAAUAACAAUUUGGAUAUUAGUUAAUUUUGAUAUCACAAGCUAGACAAACACCAUUCUCAAAGCAACUCAAGCAUCAAACACAGGAGGAGGAGGAGGAGGAAGACAAACGAAAUAAAAUCAAUGAAUUAUUUACUCAUAAUAAGGAUAAUAAUCGAAAUCCACAAAUACAAAACCCAUAGUAAUAAACCAAGUGCAUUAUAUAUGUAGUCUAUGCACCACAAAAACCCAUAUGACACUGAAAAUCCUAUAGAUCCAUAAUCACCAGCUACUAAAAUGACAAACGCUACUAAUAAAAAACCAAUCAGAAACCCAACCGCUCUCUACACAGCCCCAACCAUAGUUGCAGUAGUAAGCGAAGACUCAAACCCUGAGCGCAGAUCCGAAGACGAUAGCGGCGAAGGCGGCGGCGAAAGCAGAGAUGAACGACGGGGAGAUGGAGGCGGAUGCGGAGGUUGGGCUAGGAGCUGGAGAUUCGGCGGCCUGAGCGGCGCCGAUGACAGAAAGGACGGUGACGAAGACCGCCAUGAGAGCCACGAGUGAAGUUGCCUUUGAGACUGCCAUUGUUGAUUGGUGUGAGAGUUUCUUGUGCUUCGGAAUCUAGGGUUUUGGGAAUACGCCGAGAGACUGAAGCACAAAUAUCAGAGGUGGAAUGAAGUAGGCUCAAGGAACGUAUUUAUAGCGGGGAUUUUGGGCUGGGGUCGGGCAGCCUGGGCAGCUGCCCGGUUCUACAGGCUGGCUACUUGUGAUUGGUUCAGCGCGACAGCUCACACCGCUGGUCGGGGUAAAUUUUUCUCUGUGGGCCCCACUAGAAACCAGUGUCUACGCGGAGUCGUUU